GUGGGUGUAGCUCAGCGGUAGAGCCCCGGAUUGUGACUCCGGUGGUCGUGGGUUCGAACCCCAUCAUCCACCCCA
This 75-nucleotide transfer RNA is filed under the name Halomonas sediminis. Its description in RNAcentral is "tRNA-His". It matches the Rfam family "tRNA". From Rfam's summary of the family: Transfer RNA (tRNA) molecules are approximately 80 nucleotides in length. The record is from RNAcentral. Lineage: Bacteria; Pseudomonadati; Pseudomonadota; Gammaproteobacteria; Oceanospirillales; Halomonadaceae. RNAcentral also lists the same sequence under 2 other names.